ACUUUGCAAUGUGCGAAAGCACGACAAGGUUAAUCCGAGUGUUUCCUGCUAAAGGAAUCUUUUGUCAGUCCUAGAAACACUGAUGAAUAAGGGGUGGGCAAGUUCUGGUGUCAGCCGCCGCGGUAAAACCAGCACCUCAAGUGGUCAGGAUGAUUAUUGGGCCUAAAGCAUCCGUAGCCGGCUGCAUAAGUCUUCGGUUAAAUUCAUAUGCUCAACAUAUGGGGCUGCCGGAGAUACUGUGCAGCUAGGGAGUGGGAGAGGUAGACGGUACUCGGUAGGAAGGGGUAAAUCCUUUGAUCUAUUGAUGACCACCUGUGGCGAAGGCGGUCUACUAGAACAC
RNAcentral lists this ribosomal RNA (340 nucleotides) under uncultured Candidatus Cenarchaeum sp. RNAcentral's name for it is "bacterial SSU rRNA". It matches the Rfam family "Archaeal small subunit ribosomal RNA", at positions 347 to 688 of the family's 1478-position model. Lineage: Archaea; Thermoproteati; Nitrososphaerota; Candidatus Cenarchaeales; Candidatus Cenarchaeaceae. The record is from RNAcentral.